RNAcentral lists this ribosomal RNA (636 nucleotides) under uncultured bacterium. RNAcentral's name for it is "bacterial SSU rRNA". It matches the Rfam family "Bacterial small subunit ribosomal RNA", at positions 56 to 733 of the family's 1533-position model. The record is from RNAcentral.
UGCAAGUCGAACGAAAGUUUUUAACUUUAGUGGCGAACGGGUGCGUAAUACGUGAGAAUCUGCCCUUAGGAGAAGAAUAACUGCUGGAAACGGCUGCUAAAUCUUCAUAUGUCGAGAGAUGAAAUAGCUUAGGCUGCCUAAGGAUGAGCUCACGCCUGAUUAGCUAGUUGGUGAGGUAAUGGCUCACCAAGGCCACGAUCAGUAGCUGGUUUGAGAGAACGAUCAGCCACACUGGGACUGAGACACGGCCCAGACUCCUCCGGGAGGCAGCAGUGAGGAAUUUUCCGCAAUGGGCGAAAGCCUGACGGAGCAAUACCGCGUGAGGGAUGAAGGAUUUUGGUCUGUAAACCUCUUUUCUCAAGAAAGAAGUUCUGACGGUACUUGAGGAAUAAGCAUCGGCUAACUCCGUGCCAGCAGCCGCGGUAAUACGGGGGAUGCAAGCGUUAUCCGGAAUCAUUGGGCGUAAAGCGCCUGUAGGUUGUUUAAUAAGUCUGUUGUUAAAGACUAGGGCUUAACCCUAGAAAAGCAAUGGAAACUACUAGACUAGAGUAUGGCAGGGGUAGAGGGAAUUUCUAGUGUAGCGGUGAAAUGCGUAGAUAUUAGAAAGAACACCGGUGGCGAAAGCGCUCUACUGGA